UCUGGACUGACACUGACACUGAGGUGCGAAAGCGUGGGUAGCAAACAGGAUUAGAUACCCUGGUAGUCCACGCCGUAAACGAUGUCGACUAGCCGUUGGGUCCCUUGAGGACUUUGUGGCGCAGUUAACGCGAUAAGUCGACCGCCUGGGGAGUACGGCCGCAAGGUUAAAACUCAAAUGAAUUGACGGGGGCCCGCACAAGCGGUGGAGCAUGUGGUUUAAUUCGAUGCAACGCGAAGAACCUUACCUACCCUUGACAUCGUGCGAACUUGGUAGAGAUACCUUGGUGCCUUCGGGAGCGCACAGACAGG
This 311-nucleotide ribosomal RNA is filed under the name Halomonas urumqiensis. Its description in RNAcentral is "bacterial SSU rRNA". It matches the Rfam family "Bacterial small subunit ribosomal RNA", at positions 728 to 1038 of the family's 1533-position model. Lineage: Bacteria; Pseudomonadati; Pseudomonadota; Gammaproteobacteria; Oceanospirillales; Halomonadaceae. The record is from RNAcentral.